This 235-nucleotide microRNA precursor is filed under the name Selaginella moellendorffii. RNAcentral's name for it is "miR1091 stem-loop (smo-MIR1091)". The record is from miRBase by way of RNAcentral. Lineage: Eukaryota; Viridiplantae; Streptophyta; Lycopodiopsida; Selaginellales; Selaginellaceae.
GGCCUCUGGCAUUCGUGCGGCAGUGAGGGAGGAUUUGCCAAUAAUCCAUAGUGCCAUAAAGGAAGAUGUUGCUGUGGUUCCUUCACUGUGUCAUGAAGUGCCUGGAGGUCCUCCUUGAUUGCAGCACGCAUAACCGCAACAUUCACUGCUCUAGCCAUGGCAACCACAUCCUCCUUCAAUGCACCAUGGAUCGCUUGCAAAUCCUCCCUCACUGCUGCACGAAUGGAUCCCAUUC